RNAcentral lists this ribosomal RNA (322 nucleotides) under uncultured eukaryote. RNAcentral's name for it is "partial 18S ribosomal RNA". It matches the Rfam family "Eukaryotic small subunit ribosomal RNA", at positions 1470 to 1796 of the family's 1831-position model. The record is from RNAcentral.
CCCUUAGAUGUUCUGGGCCGCACGCGUGCUACACUGAGUGGAUCAGCGGGUCAGGUUGCGCGAAAGCGUUUCCUAAUCUUUAAAUCCGCUCGUGAUGGGGAUUGACGGUUGCAAUUUUCUGUCAUGAACGAGGAAUACCUUGUAAGCGCGGGUCAUCAUCCCGCGCUGAAUACGUCCCUGCCCUUUGUACACACCGCCCGUCGCUCCUACCGAUUGAGUGGUCCGGUGAGGCUUUGGGAUCUGAGCGGAAAGAGCGUUUCGCUGUUUCUGCUCGGAAAACUCAGUCGAACUUUAUCAUUUAGAGGAAGGAGAAGUCGUAACA